GACGAACGCUGGCGGCGUGCCUAAUACAUGCAAGUCGAACGAACUCUGGUAUUGAUUGGUGCUUGCAUCAUGAUUUACAUUUGAGUGAGUGGCGAACUGGUGAGUAACACGUGGGAAACCUGCCCAGAAGCGGGGGAUAACACCUGGAAACAGAUGCUAAUACCGCAUAACAACUUGGACCGCAUGGUCCGAGCUUGAAAGAUGGCUUCGGCUAUCACUUUUGGAUGGUCCCGCGGCGUAUUAGCUAGAUGGUGGGGUAACGGCUCACCAUGGCAAUGAUACGUAGCCGACCUGAGAGGGUAAUCGGCCACAUUGGGACUGAGACACGGCCCAAACUCCUACGGGAGGCAGCAGUAGGGAAUCUUCCACAAUGGACGAAAGUCUGAUGGAGCAACGCCGCGUGAGUGAAGAAGGGUUUCGGCUCGUAAAACUCUGUUGUUAAAGAAGAACAUAUCUGAGAGUAACUGUUCAGGUAUUGACGGUAUUUAACCAGAAAGCCACGGCUAACUACGUGCCAGCAGCCGCGGUAAUACGUAGGUGGCAAGCGUUGUCCGGAUUUAUUGGGCGUAAAGCGAGCGCAGGCGGUUUUUUAAGUCUGAUGUGAAAGCCUUCGGCUCAACCGAAGAAGUGCAUCGGAAACUGGGAAACUUGAGUGCAGAAGAGGACAGUGGAACUCCAUGUGUAGCGGUGAAAUGCGUAGAUAUAUGGAAGAACACCAGUGGCGAAGGCGGCUGUCUGGUCUGUAACUGACGCUGAGGCUCGAAAGUAUGGGUAGCAAACAGGAUUAGAUACCCUGGUAGUCCAUACCGUAAACGAUGAAUGCUAAGUGUUGGAGGGUUUCCGCCCUUCAGUGCUGCAGCUAACGCAUUAAGCAUUCCGCCUGGGGAGUACGGCCGCAAGGCUGAAACUCAAAGGAAUUGACGGGGGCCCGCACAAGCGGUGGAGCAUGUGGUUUAAUUCGAAGCUACGCGAAGAACCUUACCAGGUCUUGACAUACUAUGCAAAUCUAAGAGAUUAGACGUUCCCUUCGGGGACAUGGAUACAGGUGGUGCAUGGUUGUCGUCAGCUCGUGUCGUGAGAUGUUGGGUUAAGUCCCGCAACGAGCGCAACCCUUAUUAUCAGUUGCCAGCAUUAAGUUGGGCACUCUGGUGAGACUGCCGGUGACAAACCGGAGGAAGGUGGGGAUGACGUCAAAUCAUCAUGCCCCUUAUGACCUGGGCUACACACGUGCUACAAUGGAUGGUACAACGAGUUGCGAACUCGCGAGAGUAAGCUAAUCUCUUAAAGCCAUUCUCAGUUCGGAUUGUAGGCUGCAACUCGCCUACAUGAAGUCGGAAUCGCUAGUAAUCGCGGAUCAGCAUGCCGCGGUGAAUACGUUCCCGGGCCU
Molecule: ribosomal RNA, 1387 nt
Filed under: uncultured bacterium
Lineage: Bacteria
Description: bacterial SSU rRNA
Rfam family: Bacterial small subunit ribosomal RNA
Source: RNAcentral